Molecule: small RNA, 595 nt
Filed under: Pan troglodytes (chimpanzee)
Lineage: Eukaryota; Metazoa; Chordata; Mammalia; Primates; Hominidae
Description: retained intron
Source: RNAcentral
GGUCUGUUCCCUGGAGAUGGGAUUGGUUGGUUUGCCCAUCCUCUUUAGGAGAUAAAGAAGAAGAAAGGCAUCAAAGAGGAGGUGCAGCUGACCAGCAAGCAGAAGGAGAUGCUGCAGGCCCAGCUAGACAGGGAGGCGCAGGUCCGGAGGCGGCUGCAGGAGCUGGAUGGGGAGCUGGAGGCGGCGCUUGGACUGCUGGACAUCAUCCUGGCCAAGAACCCGUCCGGCCUGACCCAGUACAUCCCCGUUUUGGUCGACUCUUUUCUGCCCUUGCUGAAGUCUCCCCUGGCUGCUCCCAGGAUCAAGAACCCCUUCUUGUCCUUGGCUGCCUGUGUCAUGCCCUCUAGGCUCAAGGCUUUGGGCACUUUGGUGAGCCACGUGACCCUGCGCCUGCUGAAGCCAGAGUGUGCCCUGGAUAAGUCCUGGUGCCAGGAAGAGCUGUCGGUGGCUGUGAAGAGGGCGGUGACGCUGCUGCACACCCACACCAUCACCAGCAGGGUGGGCAAGGGGGAGCCAGGUGCUGCGCCCUUGUCCGCGCCAGCCUUCUCCUUAGUCUUCCCGUUUCUGAAGAUGGUGCUGACGGAGAUGCCCCACC